AUGAACGUUAGCGGCGUGCCUGAUGCAUGCAAGUCGAACGGUUUGAUGGUUCGCAAGGAUUAUCGGACAGUGGCGAACGGCUGAGUAACGCGUAAGUGACCUACCUCCAAGUGGGGAAUAACCUGCCGAAAGGCAGGCUAAUACCGCAUGUUCUGGUAAGCGUCAGCUUAUCAGCAAAGCUUUUGCGCUUGAGGAGGGGCUUGCGUCUGAUUAGAUAGUUGGCAGGGUAAUGGCCUACCAAGUCGAUGAUCAGUAGCUGGUCUGAGAGGACAACCAGCCAGACGGGGACUGAGAUACGGCCCUGACUCCUACGGGAGGCAGCAGCAAGGAAUUUUGCGCAAUGGGCGAAAGCCUGACGCAGCGACGCCGCGUGGGGGAUGACGGCCUUCGGGUUGUAAACCCCUUUUCAUGAGGAAGAAAUAUGACGGUACUCGUGGAAUAAGUCUUGGCUAACUACGU
RNAcentral lists this ribosomal RNA (459 nucleotides) under uncultured bacterium. RNAcentral's name for it is "bacterial SSU rRNA". It matches the Rfam family "Bacterial small subunit ribosomal RNA", at positions 29 to 506 of the family's 1533-position model. The record is from RNAcentral.